This 254-nucleotide ribosomal RNA is filed under the name uncultured bacterium. Its description in RNAcentral is "partial 16S ribosomal RNA". It matches the Rfam family "Bacterial small subunit ribosomal RNA", at positions 524 to 776 of the family's 1533-position model. The record is from RNAcentral.
GACAGAGGGUGCAAACGUUGUUCGGAAUUACUGGGCGUAAAGCGUGUGUAGGCGGCCGUGCAAGUCGGAUGUGAAAUCCCCGGGCUCAACCCGGGGAGGGUCGUGGCAAACCGGCGGGCUUGAGGCCGGUAGAGGUGGGUGGAACUCCUGGUGGAGUGGUGAAAUGCGUAGAGAUCAGGAAGAACACCCGUGGCGAAGGCGGCCCACUGGGCCGGUACUGACGCUGAGGCGCGAAGGCGUGGGGAGCGAACGGG